RNAcentral lists this ribosomal RNA (424 nucleotides) under uncultured bacterium. RNAcentral's name for it is "partial 16S ribosomal RNA". It matches the Rfam family "Bacterial small subunit ribosomal RNA", at positions 360 to 776 of the family's 1533-position model. The record is from RNAcentral.
AAUUUUGGACAAUGGGCGCAAGCCUGAUCCAGCCAUGCCGCGUGAGUGAAGAAGGCCUACGGGUUGUAAAGCUCUUUCGUACGGAACGAAAUCGUGCAGGCUAAUACCCUGCGCGGAUGACGGUACCGCCAUAAGAAGAACCGGCUAACUACGUGCCAGCCGCCGCGGUAAUACGUAGGGUCCGAGCGUCAAUCGGAAUUACUGGGCCUAAAGCGUGCACAUGCGGUUGAUUAAGACAGGCGUGAAAUCCCCGGGCUUAACCUGGGAACUGCGCUUGUGACUGGUCAGCUAGAGUACGGCAGAGGGGGGUGGAAUUCCACGUGUAGCAGUGAAAUGCGUAGAGAUGUGGAGGGACACCGAUGGCGAAGGCAGCCCCCUGGGCCGAUACUGACGCUCAUGCACGAAAGCGUGGGUAGCAAACAGG